RNAcentral lists this long non-coding RNA (1386 nucleotides) under Cricetulus griseus (Chinese hamster). RNAcentral's name for it is "lncRNA (ENSCGRG00015039200.1)". Lineage: Eukaryota; Metazoa; Chordata; Mammalia; Rodentia; Cricetidae. The record is from RNAcentral.
CUGAUAGAUACCUGAGCAUGGUGUCAUAGGCCUGUAAUCUCAGCUCUCAGAAAGCUCAGGUAGGAGAAUUACCAAGUUUAAAUCCAGGCUAUAUUGUCAUGAAACCGUACUUCAGGAAUUCAAAUGUGUGGGAACAACAUUCACGUCUCUAAGGGCUACCUGAAGGUCUAAAUACUUGUUUGUAACUGUGAUCUCUAUGGGACAUUGAUUUUUCUAGAAUUCUAUGGUGUGCUUUUCUGUAUCUGAAAUGUGUCCCAUAUGAACACAACUUUUUAAAAAUUCUCCAGUGAUCUAGGAAAUUGAUUUAAUUUUAGCAAAAACCAUUAUAUUGAUGAAAUAGAGUAGUAAGUCUAAUAAGCUAAAUGUUAUUUUUUCAUGUUCUUAAACUGCCAUUUUUGACACCAAGUCCCGUUCAAGUGCUACAAAAAUUAAAAUUUUGUGUUAAGAUGUGUGAGUAGCCCUAGUCUAAAAUACACUUUCAAAAGUACUGUUUAUCAUAGCCAGACAUGGUGGUGCAUGCUGUUAAUCCCAGCAGAAGCAAGUGGAGGAUCUCUGGAGGCCAGCCAGGUAUAAAGAAUGAGCUCCAGGACAGCCAGGGCUAUUAUCUACACAGAGAAACCCUGUCUUAAUUUUAUUUAUAUAGCGGGAUUUUUGAAAGGUAUCAGUAGUUGUGUGUUAUGGUGGAACUGAUAUUUUUUAUAUUGUUUAUGGUGGAACUGAAAAGUUUUUAUAUUGCGCUAGGCCAAACCUAGAGCAUUUCUAUAUUGAAGCUAUCUACACAUCAUUGAAUUGUACCUGGAAAAGUUUAGUUAGGUUUACCUUGACUACACUUCAUAGGGUGAGGGUACUUUUUGAUUCUUUAAAAGUCUGAAAUGACUGGAUUUGUUGUAUCAUCAGUAUAACUUACAGUACACUCAUAUCUGAUUUUCUUUCCGCUUCAACGAAAUGUUAGAAAUAAAUGAAGUUUUGUCUUUUAAGACUAAUAACUAAUUACCUCAAGCUUGUUGCCCUAGAACAUGACAUAUGUUUGUUGUUUCACAGUUUCUGUGGGUCUGGAAUCUAGUUAAAGUUUGACUAGAUCUCUGCUCAGGGCCUUACAAGGAAGGCUACAGUUUCAUCUGAAGCAUGGCUCUUACUCUAUGUGCUCAUGUAACACAACUCUUUCCUUAUAGCAGUAGAGCUCCUGGCUGCUUCAAGACUACCAGACUUUCGGAUCUCAGGGGAGGCCCGUGCCCUCUUAAAGGGCUGGCUUGAUAAGGUUAGGUCCCUCAUUCCCCAGGUAAAGAACUACAGACCCAUGCAAGGAAAGAGAAAUAGUCUGAAAGGUGGUAAGGAAAGGCCUCAGCCUCCCUCUCACUCCCACUUUCAUUGCCUACAAGGCUUCAU